RNAcentral lists this ribosomal RNA (253 nucleotides) under uncultured bacterium. RNAcentral describes it as "partial 16S ribosomal RNA". It matches the Rfam family "Bacterial small subunit ribosomal RNA", at positions 524 to 776 of the family's 1533-position model. The record is from RNAcentral.
UACGUAGGGGGCUAGCGUUGCUCGGAAUCACUGGGCGUAAAGCGCACGUAGGCGGCUUUCUAAGUCAGGGGUGAAAUCCUGGAGCUCAACUCCAGAACUGCCUUUGAUACUGGAGAGCUUGAGUCCGGAAGAGGUGAGUGGAAUUCCCAGUGUAGCGGUGAAAUGCGUAGAUAUUGGGAGGAACACCAGUGGCGAAGGCGGCUCACUGGACCGGUUCUGACGCUGAGGCGCGAAAGCGUGGGGAGCAAACGGG